Molecule: ribosomal RNA, 2281 nt
Filed under: Clostridioides difficile
Lineage: Bacteria; Bacillati; Bacillota; Clostridia; Peptostreptococcales; Peptostreptococcaceae
Description: bacterial LSU rRNA
Rfam family: Bacterial large subunit ribosomal RNA
Source: RNAcentral
AGGGUGCAGGGCGGAUGCCUUGGCACUAGGAGCCGAUGAAGGACGUGAUAAGCUGCGAUAAGCUUCGGGGAGUUGCACGUAAACUUUGAUCCGAAGAUUUCCGAAUGAGGAAACUCACUUAGAGUAAUGUCUAAGUAUCAUUAAGUGAAUACAUAGCUUAAUGAGGGGAACUCAGGGAACUGAAACAUCUAAGUACCUGAAGGAAGAGAAAGAAAUUCGAUUCCGUAAGUAGCGGCGAGCGAACGCGGAUUAGCCCAAACCAAUAAAGUUUUCUUUAUUGGGGUUGCGGACAUAUCAUAACGAAGAGGUAUCGUAAUUGAAGAGGUUUGGAAAGACCCACCACAGAAGGUAAUAGUCCUGUAUGUUAAACGAGAAGACUUCAGAUAUGAUCCAGAGUACCACGGGACACGUGAAACCCUGUGGGAAGCAGGAGGGACCACCCUCCAAGGCUAAAUACUACCUAGUGACCGAUAGCGUAUAGUACCGUGAGGGAAAGGUGAAAAGAACCCCGGGAGGGGAGUGAAAUAGAACCUGAAACCCUGCACUUACAAGCUGUGGAAGCACAUUUCUUGUGUGACCGCGUACUUUUUGUAGAACGGGCCAACGAGUUACGUUAAGUAGCAAGGUUAAGCACUUAAGGUGCGGAGCCGUAGCGAAAGCGAGUUUUAACUGAGCGUUCAGUUACUUGACGUAGACCCGAAACCGGGCGACCUACCCAUGAGCAGGAUGAAGCGAAAGUAAAAUUUCGUGGAGGUCCGAACCCACGAGCGUUGAAAAGCUCGGGGAUGACUUGUGGGUAGCGGUGAAAUUCCAAUCGAGCCCGGAGAUAGCUGGUUCUCCCCGAAAUAGCUUUAGGGCUAGCCUCAAGGUGAGAGAUACGGAGGUAGAGCACUGAAUGUCCUAGGGGGUAUUGCACCUACCGAAGACUAUCAAACUCCGAAUGCCGUCAUCUUAUACUUGGGAGUCAGACUGUGGGUGAUAAGAUUCAUAGUCGAAAGGGCAACAGCCCAGAUCGUCAGCUAAGGUCCCUAAAUGUAAGUUAAGUGGUAAAGGAUGUGGGAUUGCACAGACAACCAGGAUGUUGGCUUAGAAGCAGCCACUCAUUCAAAGAGUGCGUAAUAGCUCACUGGUCGAGUGAUCCUGCGCCGAAGAUUUCCGGGGCUAAAACUUACUACCGAAGCUACGGCAUCAGUAAUGAUGGGUAGGGGAGCUUCCCAUACGGGUUGAAGCAUGACCGUAAGGACAUGUGGACAGUAUGGGAGUGAGAAUGUUGGCAUGAGUAGCGAGAUGUGGGUGAGAAUCCCACAGGCCGUAAACCCAAGGUUUCCAGGGGAAGGUUCGUCCGCCCUGGGUUAGUCGGGACCUAAGCUGAGGCCGAAAGGCGUAGGUGAUGGACAACAGGUUGAUAUUCCUGUACUACCGAUAACCGUUUGAGAGAAGGGAUGACACAGUAGGAUAAGCUAAGCACACUGUUGGUUAUGUGUGCCCAAGCAUUGAGGCAGUCAAAGUAGGCAAAUCCGCUUUGAUAAUGCUGGGAUGUGAUGGGGAGCGAAAUUUAGUAGCGAAGUAGCUGAUUUCACACUGUCAAGAAAAGUCUCUAUCGAGGUUAAAGGUACCCGUACCGCAAACCGACACAGGUGGGUGAGGAGAGUAUCCUAAGGCCAGCGAGAGAACUGUUGUUAAGGAACUCGGCAAAAUGACCCCGUAACUUAGGGAUAAGGGGUGCCACCAUCAGGUGGCCGCAGAGAAUAGGCCCAAGCGACUGUUUACCAAAAACAUAGGUUUCUGCUAAGUCGCAAGACGAUGUAUAGGAGCUGACGCCUGCCCGGUGCUGGAAGGUUAAGGGGAUCUGUUAGAGCAAUCGAAGCAGUGAACUUAAGCCCCAGUAAACGGCGGCCGUAACUAUAACGGUCCUAAGGUAGCGAAAUUCCUUGUCGGGUAAGUUCCGACCCGCACGAAAGGCGUAACGAUUUGGGCACUGUCUCAACAACAGACUCGGUGAAAUUGUAAUUCCGGUGAAGAUGCCGGAUACCUGCGACAGGACGGAAAGACCCCAUGGAGCUUUACUGUAGCUUGACAUUGGGUCUUGGUACUACAUGUACAGGAUAGGUGGGAGGCUUUGAAACCAGGACGCCAGUUUUGGCGGAGCCAUCCUUGGGAUACCACCCUUGUAGUACUGGGACUCUAACCAUAGGCCAUGAAUCUGGUCUUGGGACACUGUCAGGCGGGCAGUUUGACUGGGGCGGUCGCCUCCCAAAAGGUAACGGAGGCGCUCAAAGGU